AUGCUCACUUCAGCAACACUACUAAAAUUGGAACCAUACAGAGAAGAAUGCAUGACCCCCGUGCAAACAGGACAUGCAAAUUUGUGAUGUGUUGAUUAAAAAG
RNAcentral lists this small nuclear RNA (103 nucleotides) under Macaca nemestrina (pig-tailed macaque). The record is from RNAcentral. Lineage: Eukaryota; Metazoa; Chordata; Mammalia; Primates; Cercopithecidae.